GCCCCACUGGCCUAGAGGAAGUCCCUUGGGGUUAGAGCCUUUUUAGCUCUGAUAGUGGGAGAUUUUAGAAUCUCAGCGCCGUGGGUUCGAGCCCUACCUGGGGCA
Molecule: non-coding RNA, 105 nt
Organism: Podarcis lilfordi (Lilford's wall lizard)
Lineage: Eukaryota; Metazoa; Chordata; Lepidosauria; Squamata; Lacertidae
Source: the annotation of a GenBank genome assembly